RNAcentral lists this ribosomal RNA (1451 nucleotides) under uncultured Bacteroidota bacterium. Its description in RNAcentral is "uncultured Bacteroidetes bacterium 16S ribosomal RNA". It matches the Rfam family "Bacterial small subunit ribosomal RNA". The record is from RNAcentral. Lineage: Bacteria; Pseudomonadati; Bacteroidota.
GAUUAACGCUAGCGACAGGCCUAACACAUGCAAGUCGAGGGGCAUCAGAGUGUAGUAAUACACAGCUGGCGACCGGCGCACGGGUGAGUAACGCGUAUGCAACCUGCCUACUACAGGGGGAUAGCCCUAAGAAAUUGGGAUUAAUACCGCAUAAAACAGGGGAACCGCAUGGUUAUAUUUGUUAAAUGAUGAGAAUUGGUAGUAGAUGGGCAUGCGUUCCAUUAGCUAGUUGGGGAGGUAACGGCUCACCAAGGCGACGAUGGAUAGGGGCACUGAGAGGUUUGUCCCCCACACUGGGACUGAGACACGGCCCAGACUCCUACGGGAGGCAGCAGUGAGGAAUAUUGGUCAAUGGGCGAGAGCCUGAACCAGCCAAGUCGCGUGAAGGAAGACGGUUCUAUGGAUUGUAAACUUCUUUUUCAUGGGAGUAAAGAGCGCCACGCGUGGCGUUUAGCAAGUACCAUGAGAAUAAGCAUCGGCUAACUCCGUGCCAGCAGCCGCGGUAAUACGGAGGAUGCGAGCGUUGUCCGGAUUUAUUGGGUUUAAAGGGUGCGUAGGCGGGGACUUAAGUCAGCGGUGAAAUGCACAGGCUCAACCUGUGAACUGCCGUUGAAACUGGGUUUCUUGAGAAUAGAUGAAGCAGGCGGAAUUAGUGGUGUAGCGGUGAAAUGCAUAGAUAUCACUAGGAACUCCGAAAGCGCAGGCAGCUUGCUAAGCUAUGACUGACGCUGAAGCACGAAAGUGUGGUUAUCGAACAGGAUUAGAUACCCUGGUAGUCCACACAGUAAACGAUGAUUACUAGUUGUUAGCGAUAUACCGUUAGUAACCAAGCGAAAGCGAUAAGUAAUCCACCUGGGGAGUACGCCGGCAACGGUGAAACUCAAAGGAAUUGACGGGGGCCCGCACAAGCGGAGGAACAUGUGGUUUAAUUCGAUGAUACGCGAGGAACCUUACCCGGGCUUGAAAUGCUUCUGACAGGAUUGGAAACAAUCUUUCUAGCAAUAGCAGAAGUGUAGGUGCUGCAUGGUUGUCGUCAGCUCGUGCCGUGAGGUGUCGGCUUAAGUGCCAUAACGAGCGCAACCCACAUCGGAAGUUACUAACAGGUGAUGCUGAGGACUCUGCCGAGACUGCCAGCGUAAGCUGCGAGGAAGGUGUGGAUGACGUCAAAUCAGCACGGCCCUUACGUCCGGGGCGACACACGUGUUACAAUGGCCGGUACAGCGGGUAGCCAUCAGGCAACUGAGCGCCAAUCCCGAAAACCGGUCCCAGUUCGGAUUGGAGUCUGCAACUCGACUCCAUGAAGCUGGAUUCGCUAGUAAUCGCGCAUCAGCCAUGGCGCGGUGAAUACGUUCCCGGGCCUUGUACACACCGCCCGUCAAGCCAUGGGAGCUGGGGGUACCUGAAAUACGUAACCGCAAGGAGCGUCCAAGGGUAAUACCGGUGACUGGGGC